This 559-nucleotide ribosomal RNA is filed under the name uncultured bacterium. RNAcentral's name for it is "bacterial SSU rRNA". It matches the Rfam family "Bacterial small subunit ribosomal RNA", at positions 120 to 674 of the family's 1533-position model. The record is from RNAcentral.
GGGAAACUGCCUGAUGGAGGGGGAUAACUACUGGAAACGGUAGCUAAUACCGCAUAACGUCGCAAGACCAAAGAGGGGGACCUUCGGGCCUCUUGCCAUCAGAUGUGCCCAGAUGGGAUUAGCUAGUAGGUGGGGUAACGGCUCACCUAGGCGACGAUCCCUAGCUGGUCUGAGAGGAUGACCAGCCACACUGGAACUGAGGCACGGUCCAGACUCCUACGGGAGGCAGCAGUGGGGAAUAUUGCACAAUGGGCGCAAGCCUGAUGCAGCCAUGCCGCGUGUAUGAAGAAGGCCUUCGGGUUGUAAAGUACUUUCAGCGGGGAGGAAGGUGUUGAGGUUAAUAACCUCAGCAAUUGACGUUACCCGCAGAAGAAGCACCGGCUAACUCCGUGCCAGCAGCCGCGGUAAUACGGAGGGUGCAAGCGUUAAUCGGAAUUACUGGGCGUAAAGCGCACGCAGGCGGUCUGUCAAGUCGGAUGUGAAAUCCCCGGGCUCAACCUGGGAACUGCAUUCGAAACUGGCAGGCUAGAGUCUUGUAGAGGGGGGUAGAAUUCCAGGU